Molecule: ribosomal RNA, 398 nt
Filed under: uncultured Streptococcus sp.
Lineage: Bacteria; Bacillati; Bacillota; Bacilli; Lactobacillales; Streptococcaceae
Description: bacterial SSU rRNA
Rfam family: Bacterial small subunit ribosomal RNA
Source: RNAcentral
UUGACAUCCCGAUGCUAUUCUAGAGAUAGAAAGUUACUUCGGUACAUCGGUGACAGGUGGUGCAUGGUUGUCGUCAGCUCGUGUCGUGAGAUGUUGGUUAAGUCCCGCAACGAGCGCAACCCCUAUUGUUAGUUGCCAUCAUUCAGUUGGGCACUCUAGCGAGACUGCCGGUAAUAAACCGGAGGAAGGUGGGGAUGACGUCAAAUCAUCAUGCCCCUUAUGACCUGGGCUACACACGUGCUACAAUGGUUGGUACAACGAGUUGCGAGUCGGUGACGGCGAGCUAAUCUCUUAAAGCCAAUCUCAGUUCGGAUUGUAGGCUGCAACUCGCCUACAUGAAGUCGGAAUCGCUAGUAAUCGCGGAUCAGCACGCCGCGGUGAAUACGUUCCCGGGCCUU